Long non-coding RNA from Episyrphus balteatus (marmalade hoverfly), 650 nucleotides. RefSeq lists it as uncharacterized. The transcript has 2 exons. Lineage: Eukaryota; Metazoa; Arthropoda; Insecta; Diptera; Syrphidae. The record is from RefSeq and is a predicted model, not a curated record.
AUAAAUUAAUAAAAAGUUAAUCCAAUAAAUAGGCAUAUCGAACAAACGAUAGCUAUUAUUGACUGUUUGUCCAUUUUUCGCUUCAAAAACCGCUGAAAUUUCCAAAAUUUAGUUUUUACCCACUGUAAAAACAGAUUAUAUUUCUGAAAAUAAAAAAAAAAAAACAUAGCAAUCAAUAAUUGACAAAUAAAUAAAAAAUAUUAUUAAAAAAAAUAAAUAUAAAAAUUCAAUAUUAUAUUUACCGAAAAAUGGACCCUCCUGCGAAUCCUGACCACCCUCGUCCUGGUCACUAUGAGAUUUUGCUGCGGGAAAUAUAUUAUUCCUAAGUUCGGCUUGAAAAAAAAGAAAAAAUAAGAAAAUAUGUACAUAUAUCAAGAUUUUCAAGAAAUAAAAUUCAAGAAAUAUAAAAAUAGGGGCUUACCAGGACAUGUGGCCCAUCCCCGAUUAUUUCGAUGGGCUGCAGUGGUAUCGGCAUGCUUACCAGAUUAUUGGGCCUCCCAAACCAGGUCCUUGGAUUGGACCACUCCCUGCCGCGGAACUGAAUUAAAAAUAAAAUAUAAUUCAAAACUAUUGUUUCAACAAUAGAUAUAAUUAAACUUACAUGUCUUAUAAAAGCUCGAUCCAUUAAAUUUUCCAUUAUUUUAUUUCGA